AAAAAUAUGACGACUAAGAAACACUUAAUGUCAACAAGAUUGUCUGAUUGACAAGAGAAAAGGUCAAACAGGAACUUCAAUUGUGAACAUUGCAGAAAACACACUCGGAAGAAGAUGACCCUCAGAAAUAGGACAAUUAAUGAAUAAAAAGGACAGAAGCACAACUGAAGGAGAUGCAUGAAAUGAGGAAGAUUUCAAAGAUUGCCUGAGCAUAACCACUGCUACUGGAUAAACAUAUGGCAAUAUAAAAGAGCAGGGUCAAUGGAGGUAUCAUACAGUAUAGGCCAUGAGAGACCCUGAAGACGAAAGUAUGGAAC
Molecule: long non-coding RNA, 317 nt
Organism: Saccostrea cuccullata (small rock oyster)
Lineage: Eukaryota; Metazoa; Mollusca; Bivalvia; Ostreida; Ostreidae
Exons: 3
Source: RefSeq, a predicted model, not a curated record